AAUCGACGCGCCCGGCUGCCUCUGCCCCACACGGCCACCCCCGAGUACAGCGCCCCCCACGCCUACCUCCGGUCCAGCCGCGCCGCGCCUCGCCGGGACACGUUGCCGCCGACCCGCCGUGACAUCUCACAUGAGCUGCCUCGACCCGACGCCGAACGCGGCUUUCAACGGGCUGCUAGUUAAAAAGGCCUGAAGGCCGUAACUGGCGCCAACUUUGACCAUGCACUGAAGGUGUUCGACUUAAUUAUGACACUCGAUUACUUGCCGAUUUUGCCCAUUGCCAAGUCUGGUCGGUGGUCGCAGCAGUAAGGAAUUGGCUCUGUUCUGUACCUUGAGGAAGAAAGGGCUAUCUCACAAUGUGUAUUCUUGUAAGGCACUAGUUUUUGGAUUCUGCAAGAAAAGCUAUGGGGCGAAGCAUACAGGGCAUUGGUUCUGAUCCGUUUGAAGGAUGCGAACCAUCUGUUGUAACAUAUUCUUUGGUUGUAAGUUUCCUCUGUAAAGACAGCAAGAUUGACGGCCAGAUGUGUGUUUUUGGGAUGGCUUCUGAAGAGGGUUGCCAUUUCGAUAACACCAUAUACAUGUGCUUCUCUAUGCACUCUGCGAUGCUGAUAGAAUAUCAGAAGCUCGUGUGAUCGUUGAUGUGAUAGAGGAGAGGGGUAUGUCCCUGAUAGUUUCACUGUUUCUGUUCUGGCUGCUGUUUUUUCAAAGUCGAUCAUGUUGAGACCUGCCAGAAUUUUGUACGAAGGGUACAUACCAGGAUGUACCAGGAGUGAUGUUUUUUAUGUUGUCACUUGGAAUAUAUCCAUCAUGGCUUAUGCCGCAAUGGCCACAGCAGGAAGGCUUGACCUCUGAUUAGUAUUAUGGCAGAGGACUUUUACUAUCUACUGUAACAUAUAACAUUAUACUAAAAGGAUUUUGUACAGAGGUGGAUUUCGGAGGGCGUAGGAGAUGCUGGAUCAGUUUACAGGAGCUCGUGUUUACUAUGAUUCAGUGUCCUUCAACACUAUUCUCUCUGCAGCUUGUCGGCCGUGCAGUGCUUCAGUAAUUUGGUGGGUUCUGCAUCAUAUGAUGCUGAACAAAUCUACCUUGAUGGCAUCAGUAUGACAUUCUUAGUUUCUUACUAAGGUACUUCCGCAUGUGUGGGAAGUCUGCAGAAAUGGUUAACCUUUUUGGAGGAAAAAAAAUACUGUUAACCUGGUUGAGAAUAUGAUAAUUUAUGGCAACCAUUCUUUGUUCGUGGUGGUGGUACAACAAGACAUCAUACGAUCUGAAGAUAUUUGAGCAUCCAAGGCUUACGACGUCUUCCGAGGUGGACACGCCCUUGUAGGCUUUCCUUUUUCAGUGUGAGAUUUUAAAUUUGUGAUUGCGAAGUAGUUGUGUCGCUACAUCAUCAAAUAUUAACUUUGUUACAAAGUUCUAGAAUUGUGGCCUUGUGGGGGCAUUGAGUUUUUUUUUUUUCUAAACUUAAAAGUUAUUGAUACUUUGUUGUGAUUGAGUGUAAGCACAAAGCAAGUUGCAUGAUUUAUGGAGGUGUUUCUAAAGACAGUCAUUUAUUCUGUUCCUUUUAUGAAA
Brachypodium distachyon (stiff brome) is the source of this 1572-nucleotide long non-coding RNA. RefSeq lists it as uncharacterized. The record is from RefSeq and is a predicted model, not a curated record. The transcript has 2 exons. Lineage: Eukaryota; Viridiplantae; Streptophyta; Magnoliopsida; Poales; Poaceae.